GACGAACGCUGGCGGCGUGCUUAACACAUGCAAGUCGAACGGUGAAGGGACCAGCUUGCUGGUUCUGGAUGAGUGGCGAACGGGUGAGUAACACGUGAGUAACCUGCCCCCUUCUUCUGGAUAACCGCAUGAAAGUGUGGCUAAUACGGGAUAUUCUGGGUCUGUCGCAUGGCGUGCCCGGGAAAGAUAUUGCUUCGGUGGGGGAUGGGCUCGCGGCCUAUCAGCUUGUUGGUGGGGUGAUGGCCUACCAAGGCGGUGACGGGUAGCCGGCCUGAGAGGGUGGACGGUCACACUGGGACUGAGACACGGCCCAGACUCCUACGGGAGGCAGCAGUGGGGAAUAUUGCACAAUGGGCGCAAGCCUGAUGCAGCGACGCCGCGUGAGGGAUGGAGGCCUUCGGGUUGUAAACCUCGUUCGCCAGUGAAGCAGGCCUGCUCCUUGUGGGUGGGUUGACGGUAGCUGGAUAAGAAGCGCCGGCUAACUACGUG
This 489-nucleotide ribosomal RNA is filed under the name uncultured bacterium. RNAcentral's name for it is "partial 16S ribosomal RNA". It matches the Rfam family "Bacterial small subunit ribosomal RNA", at positions 28 to 507 of the family's 1533-position model. The record is from RNAcentral.